Non-coding RNA from Gossypium arboreum, 107 nucleotides. The record is from Rfam. NCBI's taxonomy places the organism in Eukaryota, Viridiplantae, Streptophyta, Magnoliopsida, Malvales, Malvaceae.
AACCCAUGGUGAGGGCACCUUUUAAAUAGAUCCUUGUAUCUCUCCCAUGCAUCAUAAAGUGUUUCUAAAUCCAUCUGGACAAAAGAAGAAGUAUCAUUCCUUAGUUU